Molecule: small nucleolar RNA, 131 nt
Filed under: Meriones unguiculatus (Mongolian gerbil)
Lineage: Eukaryota; Metazoa; Chordata; Mammalia; Rodentia; Muridae
Description: Small nucleolar RNA SNORA17 (ENSMUGG00000002445.1)
Rfam family: Small nucleolar RNA SNORA17
About the family: snoRNA ACA 17 belongs to the H/ACA family of snoRNAs and is predicted to guide pseudouridylation of the 28S rRNA at positions U4659 and U4598. It shares the same host gene together with ACA43.
Source: RNAcentral
UCUGUCCUAAGAGGCAUUACAGGUGUGGGUGCUGUGUCACAUGUGCCUCAGGAGGUGGCACAGAGGAGAGCAGCAAUGUCUAUGCUCAGCAUUUCUUACCUAUGAACAUUUGCAGCAAGUGGGAGACCUAG